AAAAUCCGCUGGUUUCACGGGACCGUGAGGGUUCGAAUCCCUCUAUCCCCA
Molecule: transfer RNA, 51 nt
Filed under: Lepisorus cespitosus
Lineage: Eukaryota; Viridiplantae; Streptophyta; Polypodiopsida; Polypodiales; Polypodiaceae
Description: partial tRNA-Leu
Source: RNAcentral